CUGGUGCCAGCAGCCGCGGUAAUUCCAGCUCCAAUAGCGUAUAUUAAAGUUGUUGCAGUUAAAAAGCUCGUAGUUGAAUUUUAGGCCUGGCCGGGCGGUCCGUCUUUGGCGAGUACUGUCCUGUGUCGGGUCCACCUUCUGGUGAACCAGUAUGUCCUUAAUUGGGUGUGCCGGGGAGCCAGGACCAUUACCUUGAAAAAAUUAGAGUGUUUAAAGCAGGCAUUUGCUUGAAUAGAUUAGCAUGGAAUAAUAGAAUAGGACGUUGUGGUUCUAUUUUGUUGGUUUCUAGGACCACCGUAAUGAUUAAUAGGGAUAGUUGGGGGCAUUAGUAUUCAAUUGUCAGAGGUGAAAUUCUUGGAUUUAUUGAAGACUAACUAUUGCGAAAGCAUUUGCCAAGGAUGUUUUCAUUAAUCAAGAACGAAAGUUAGGGGAUCGAAGACGAUCAGAUACCGUCGUAGUCUUAACCAUAAACUAUGCCGACUAGGAAUCGGGCGAC
Molecule: ribosomal RNA, 496 nt
Filed under: uncultured Archaeospora
Lineage: Eukaryota; Fungi; Glomeromycota; Glomeromycetes; Archaeosporales; Archaeosporaceae
Description: SSU rRNA
Rfam family: Eukaryotic small subunit ribosomal RNA
Source: RNAcentral